UGUUAAAAUUUUCAUUCGUUUGUAGUGUUUAAAACUGGCGUGGUUAAUUGAAUAACCAGACAAUAACACGUGGCAUAUCACCUAUACCUCAUGCUAACCUAUAAUAACUUGUUUUUAACAGUAGAAAUGAAUGAAAUUUUUAAUA
This 145-nucleotide microRNA precursor is filed under the name Gossypium arboreum. RNAcentral's name for it is "MIR7502 microRNA precursor family". It matches the Rfam family "MIR7502 microRNA precursor family". The record is from Rfam by way of RNAcentral. Lineage: Eukaryota; Viridiplantae; Streptophyta; Magnoliopsida; Malvales; Malvaceae.